Oryctolagus cuniculus (rabbit) is the source of this 4786-nucleotide non-coding RNA. NCBI's taxonomy places the organism in Eukaryota, Metazoa, Chordata, Mammalia, Lagomorpha, Leporidae. The record is from RefSeq and is a predicted model, not a curated record.
CUCUCUGGCUACUAGUUAGCCAGAGAGUUCAUUGAGUUAGCCUUGAGUUCAUUGAGGCAGAACAUACUCAAAUGCAACAAAUUACAUGAAGUAGAUUUAUUACUUGCAGGUAGGCAGCAAGGGAAAUACCUUAGGAUUCACUGCGAGCCAUUCCUGAAGACUCAGAGAGCUGCCUGGGGUGGGUAGAGACCUGACUGUACAGAUCUCGCUUGUACCACAGAUCAGGGAAUCCGAAAGUCCUCCCUCUCCUGGUUACAUAGCUGCUGUCACAUACCUCACUGGACUAAGGUACUGAAGGACUUCCUGCUCCAGGAGGGACUGGGAGAGUGCUCAGGGUGCUCUGGCCAGCCCCUCCCUUGUCUCAGGGGUUGCAUUCCUAGCAUACUGUAUAGUUCUUGAGAACUACAAGCAAGAAUGAAGGAAAAUCCCGGCUGGUCUAAGGCCACUUGGAAAACUAUACCGCCCUCAGUGCUCUGCAAUGUACUAUGUGUCCCACACCCCUGCCUGGUAACAACAAGUGGAGUCAUGGAAUAUUUGUCUUUUUGAGUGACUUAUUUCACUUAGCAUCAUAUCCUCAAGAUUCAUUCACACUGGAAGUUCUGGCCAUUUAGUUUGUUGACUGUCCCUCAAUUUGGGUAGGUUUGAUGCUUCCUUAUGAUGAGCUUCAUGAUAUCUUGAAACAGUGCCCAAUCCAGCAUCAAUGAACAUGCUUAGCCCACCAGUUCUGUUGCUGAAAUACUAUCUGCCACAAACAAAUACCAGGACUUCCUGGAGAAAAUGGACAAUUCCAGGUUUGGGAUAGGAAGUGUGCAAAAUGAACCUGGGAUACCUUCAUAUAAUGUACAAUAAGUGAUCCAUCAAAAACUACUAGAAUCAGACUGAAGGACUCACUAGAACACUUGCUGAGGUUUGCACUGGUCAAAGAUGUGACAAUCUGGAGAUGGCUGAAAAGAGGCACGGAUGCAUCUCUAAGGAAAGACAGAGAGCAAGCAAGUGCCAUUGUGCUAAAAUAUCCAGGGACAUUGCACUGUGGAUGAAACAGAGAAACUGCAGAAAGCAGAGACUCCGGAUGUCCUGGUAAAGAAGAGAAUGAAGAGCUUUACAUUGAUCCCUGUACCCUAGUCUAGAAAAGUCUGAAUACAAGAAGUUUGUUACACCAUGGAGAAAAAGUAAACUGGAGUUCCCCAUUGACACCAUGGACACCUGAAGAUUUUGCUGUUGAAGAAUCCUACAGUGCUUGUGAUCCUUCAGCCCAGCGGGCGAGGAAUUGUAGGAAGCACACAGGGUUGUGCUGUUCUGGAGGAAUUCAGUUGACAUUGUACCCUCCCCUACCCAAGUGACUGCUGAAUAGUGCCACUCUGGCACCACCUCGAACCACAUCCAUCCCUGGACUUGCAUGAACAAUGCCGCCUCCUGAGCUGCUAUGGUAGCUGCUGCAGACGUGGAUGUGCGAGUUGUACUACACCUGCCUAGAGCUCCUUGAGAGGUCCCACCCAUUGUGCCACCUGUAGCAUGAGUAACACCCUGCAGUCACUGACACACACAGACUACCGUACACACACUCAGGAUGCUGAAGUGGUCACACUGCUACUCAGUGCAAAGGAGAGUGACAGACACAGGCAUAUGUGUGAUGCCAUAUAUAAGCACUGUACUGCACCUGCCAGGGUCAACUGGAAUGGUCUCCUGUUGAGACUACUGGAUCAUCCCCAUCCCCACAGGGCUGCUGGAAGGUGAUUGGGAUCUCUGCCCCCUUUGGGCUUACCACACACCCAACCUUUUAUUACAGUGAAGACACCUUAUAGUAUGAUGCCCAACCUGAAAUAGAGCCAAUGUAUCACACCAAAUGAACGCCAUAAAACAUCUUCAGAAGGAAGUAUUUUACUAUGAAAAGCACUUUACAGAAUUAGUAGGAAAUACAGAUACACCGGAUGCACAAAUACCAACAUAGGGACACAGAAGUAUGAAAAAAGUAAGGUGAAAUGAUGCCUACAAAAGAACAAAAUAACUCCAUAGCAACCAAACCCAAAGAAAAUAAAAUUGAUAAGCCAGCUGAAAAUUAGCCUAAAUAAUAAUUCUAAGGAAACUCAAUAAGAUACAAUAGAAUACAGAUUACCAACACAAGUAGAAAAAUAAUUUAUAAUAUGAAUGAGCAACUUAGCAAAGAGCUAGAGAUAAUAAAAGAGAUUCCCCCCAAAAAAGAGACCAAAAAUAAAAAUAAAACCAUAGUGUCAAACAACUCAGUAAAUGAAAUUAAAAACAGUUGAGAACCUCAGCAACAGACUAGCUCAAGCAGAAGAAAUUUCUGAACUCAAAUAUAGGUCUUCUGAAACUAUCCAGUCAGGUUUUAAAAGUCUAAAAGAAUGUAGACUGUCUCUGAGAUUCGCAGGACACCAUUCAUAAAUACAUUUUCAAAUUAUGGUUACUUCUUAGAUAGAAGAAAAUGGAAAAUGCACAGAUAAUCUAUUCAGUGAACUAGUAGCUGGAAACUUCUCAAAUCUUCAAACAUGUAUGGACAUAUAGCUCCAGGAAUUUCCAAGGAACUCAGAAAGAUCUGAUAAAAAAAAACUUUCUCAUAAUAUAUCAUAGCCAGUUAUCAAAAGCUCAAAAAUAAAGAAUGCUAAAAACGGAAACAGAAUUGCCAAGCCACAUUUAAGGGAAUCUCUUCCCCCCAUUAGACUGAGAGUAUACUUUUCAGAAGAAACUUACAGGCCACGAGGGAAUGGUUAAAGUAUUCAAAGUUCCAGAAGGAAAAACAGAAGACUAACAGCCAAAAAUACUAUACACAUCAAAACUAAAAAAUAUUUUAAAGACACACAAAAACCGAAGGAAUUCAUCACCACCAGGCUAAAUCUACAAAUAUGCUUAAGGAAGUCAUACAUCUACAAGCAAAAAUAAGAUAAUAACCUUCACAAAAAUAUGCAAAAGUACAAAUUCCAUUAGAGAAUUAUAUGAACAAAAGAAAAAGAGAAAAGAAUCAAAUCUUAUCAAUACAGAAAAGCACCAAACCUCAAAAACAAACAGGAGAGGAAGUAAGAAUAAGGGUGUUCAAUAUAACCCCAAAAAAGUUAACAAAAUGACUGGAGGAAGUCUUCAUGUAUUAACAAAUAUCUUGCAUGUAAAUGGAUUAAAUUCCCCAAUUAAAAUUUAGACUGUGGUUAAACUUCCACUUAUAACACUGGCAACUCAUAACGGAGUGCUGGUUUGAGUCCCUGGCUUCACCACUUCUGAUCCAACUCCCUGUUAAUGUGUUACUGGUCGAGGAGCGGAGAGUAGUUACCAGAGCAAAUUUGGUGGUUUUAUUUCCUCAGCUUAGUAGAGAAAUAAGACGUUGGGAAACAAUUUGCAAAGAAGCAAAAACUUUUUCUAUUUUGCAAAGCCAGAGGGAAAGUGUCUCAACUGAGAGGAGCCAAGACUGAGUACCCUGAGUAGGACUCUGGUUUUCUUGAGGUAUGCAGGGUUUUUAAGGCUUUACUGUCUUUUCACUGGGACUUCCUAUGUGGGUGCCUAUUGGACAGGGGUCCCACAUACUGUAUGCUCAUUGGCUUGGGGCCCAUUGAGAUAGUGGGGGUCUUUUGGAGAUGGCUUGACUCCUCUUAGGUGACUCAGCCCUCAACUCACUGAUAGUUCUGGGUGGUAAAUGGCAACUAGCUUUUUAACUAAUGAAAAUAGAGACAACACAAACCAAAAUCUAGCAGUACUAACAAAGAAUUGCAUGAUGAUAUGCACCUACAUCAAAAAAAAUAGAGGGACAGGUGUGUUGCACAGUGGUUAAGUUGUCACUUGGAAUGCCUGUCUCAUAUGGGUGUGCUUGGUUCAAAUCUUUACUCCCCCACUUCUGAUCUGGCUUCCCACUAAUGCAGAGUCUGGGAGACAGCCGAUUAUUGCUUCAGUACUUGAGUCUCUGCCACUCGCAGGGAACAGCUUGAUUGAGUUCUUUGCUUCUGCCUUUGACCUGGCAAAGUGCUGGCUGUUGUCAUUUGGGAAGUGAACCAUGAAACAGCAAAUAGAAUCUCUCUCUCUCCAUCUCUUUCUUUUUUUCAUUCCAUCUCACUGCUUUUAACAUAAAAUAAAAUUAAAUGAAAAUUUUUUGAAAAUAGAAAGAUUCCAAACAAACAACUUAAUGAUGCAACUCAAGGAAGUAGAAAAGCAAGAGCAAAGCAAACCAAAAUUAAUAAGGAAACAAAUAACAAAGAGCAGAGCAGAAAUAAAUGAAACAGAGGCUAAAAUAAGCAACACAAAAUAUCAACAAGAUAAAGAGCUGGUUUUUUUUGGUGAAGAUAAUGUCAACAAAGACCAACAAAGAAACAAGAAAAGAUAGAAUAUCCGAAUAAAUCAAAUAAAAUAUUACAAGGAGAUAGUACAGCUGAUACCAUAGAUAUACAAAGGCUAAUUAGGGCUGUUAUUUGUGGGAAAAUAUAUGCAACCAGAGGACAUUAUGUUACCUGAAAAAAGCCAGGCAGAGAAAGACAAACAUCUCAUGCUCUCUCUGUAUGUGGAAGCUAGAAAAGCCAAGAUCAAAGUAGCAGAGAGUACAAUAUAAAUAUAAUUCACUAGAGGCUAGGAUUCAUAGUUGGGAUUAGAGAUAGAGGGAAGUUGGAUAACAUGUACCAAAAUAUAGAUAGUUAUAAGUAAUAAAUUAUAAUGUUCUGCUGUAUGGUAGUGACUAUAGUUAAAAUAACCCAUAAUAUUUUUGAGAAGGACUAGAAGACUAGAAGUAUUCAAAUACAAAGAAACUAUAAGAAAAAGAAAUUGCUAUUACUCUGAUUUGAUUAUCACACAUGUAUAC